AGAUUGAACGCUGGCGGCAUGCCUUACACAUGCAAGUCGAACGGUAACGCGGGGCAACCUGGCGACGAGUGGCGAACGGGUGAGUAAUGCAUCGGAACGUGCCCAGUAGUGGGGGAUAGCCCGGCGAAAGCCGGAUUAAUACCGCAUACGACCUAAGGGUGAAAGCGGGGGACCGUAAGGCCUCGCGCUAUUGGAGCGGCCGAUGUCAGAUUAGGUAGUUGGUGGGUAAAAGCCUACCAAGGCCUACGAUCUGUAGCUGGUCUGAGAGGACGACCAGGCCACACUGGGACUGAGACACGGCCCAGACUCCUACGGGAGGCAGCAGUGGGAAUUUGGACAA
This 340-nucleotide ribosomal RNA is filed under the name uncultured soil bacterium. RNAcentral's name for it is "bacterial SSU rRNA". It matches the Rfam family "Bacterial small subunit ribosomal RNA", at positions 26 to 371 of the family's 1533-position model. The record is from RNAcentral.